GAUGAACGCUGGCGGCGUGCCUAAUACAUGCAAGUCGAGCGAACAGACGAGGAGCUUGCUCCUCUGACGUUAGCGGCGGACGGGUGAGUAACACGUGGAUAACCUACCUAUAAGACUGGGAUAACUUCGGGAAACCGGAGCUAAUACCGGAUAAUAUAUUGAACCGCAUGGUUCAAUAGUGAAAGACGGUUUUGCUGUCACUUAUAGAUGGAUCCGCGCCGCAUUAGCUAGUUGGUAAGGUAACGGCUUACCAAGGCAACGAUGCGUAGCCGACCUGAGAGGGUGAUCGGCCACACUGGAACUGGGACACGGUCCAGACUCCUACGGGAGGCAGCAGUAGGGAAUCUUCCGCAAUGGGCGAAAGCCUGACGGAGCAACGCCGCGUGAGUGAUGAAGGUCUUCGGAUCGUAAAACUCUGUUAUGAGGGAAGAACAAAUGUGUAAGUAACUAUGCACGUCUUGACGGUACCUAAUCAGAAAGCCACGGCUAACUACGUG
RNAcentral lists this ribosomal RNA (497 nucleotides) under uncultured bacterium. RNAcentral describes it as "partial 16S ribosomal RNA". It matches the Rfam family "Bacterial small subunit ribosomal RNA", at positions 28 to 507 of the family's 1533-position model. The record is from RNAcentral.